This 274-nucleotide ribosomal RNA is filed under the name uncultured bacterium. RNAcentral describes it as "partial 16S ribosomal RNA". It matches the Rfam family "Bacterial small subunit ribosomal RNA", at positions 523 to 796 of the family's 1533-position model. The record is from RNAcentral.
AUACGGAGGGUGCAAGCGUUACUCGGAAUCACUGGGCGUAAAGCGCGCGCAGGCGGCUAUUUAAGUUGGAUGUGAAAGCCUACGGCUCAACCGUAGAACUGCAUCCAAAACUAUUUAGCUAGAGUGUGGGAGAGGAAGAUGGAAUUAGUUGUGUAGGGGUAAAAUCCGUAGAGAUAACUAGGAAUACCAAAAGCGAAGGCAAUUUUCUGGAACACUACUGACGCUCAGGCGCGAAAGCGUGGGGAGCAAACGGGAUUAGAAACCCUAGUAGUCC